This 425-nucleotide ribosomal RNA is filed under the name uncultured bacterium. RNAcentral describes it as "bacterial SSU rRNA". It matches the Rfam family "Bacterial small subunit ribosomal RNA", at positions 356 to 773 of the family's 1533-position model. The record is from RNAcentral.
AGGGAAUCUUCCACAAUGGGCGAAAGCCUGAUGGAGCAACGCCGCGUGAGUGAAGAAGGAUUUCGGUUCGUAAAACUCUGUUGUAAGGGAAGAACAAGUAGCGUAGUAACUGGCGCUACCUUGACGGUACCUUAUUAGAAAGCCACGGCUAACUACGUGCCAGCAGCCGCGGUAAUACGUAGGUGGCAAGCGUUGUCCGGAAUUAUUGGGCGUAAAGCGCGCGCAGGUGGUCCUUUAAGUCUGAUGUGAAAGCCCACGGCUCAACCGUGGAGGGUCAUUGGAAACUGGGGGACUUGAGUGCAGAAGAGGAUAGUGGAAUUCCAAGUGUAGCGGUGAAAUGCGUAGAGAUUUGGAGGAACACCAGUGGCGAAGGCGACUACCUGGUCUGUAACUGACACUGAGGCGCGAAAGCGUGGGGAGCAAAC